GUGCAUACCUGGCAAAGUUGAUACAAUGAGCAGAAAGAAAGCUUUUUUUCCAGGGAGAGGUUUACAUAUAAGAGUCCGAAUAUGAUUGUCCCUGGAUUUCUCUCAAAUGUAGGAAAUUUGAUACAGUAAUUUUUGGUAUUGAGGAAUUGUGUUCUUGCUAUCCUCU
This is a non-coding RNA of Myodes glareolus (Bank vole), 166 nucleotides long. Lineage: Eukaryota; Metazoa; Chordata; Mammalia; Rodentia; Cricetidae. The record is from RefSeq and is a predicted model, not a curated record.